GAACAGAACCGGCGCUAAAAGUUUUUUUUAAUUUUUUUUUGCCACUUUUUGUACCUGUUCAAAGCAAGAACCAGUGCUUAAAGUGUGUUUUUUUGCACCGGUUCUCACCCAGAACCGGUGCGAAAAGCAUGUUUUCCCACCGGUUUUGAACCGGUGUGAAAUGUUUGGGGUUUAAGCACCCCCCGAAUCAGGACCGGUUCAAAACCGGUGCUAAAUGGGGGUUUUGAACCGGUGCGGAUUGCGUGUUUUCGCCUAGUGUGAAGGCUUUUCUAGUCAAGUUCUUGGGACAGGAAAAGACUGCAAGGUUGAAAAAUGAGUUAUCUACUUUCAGGCAAUCAAAUGAUGAGUCCCUAUAUGACGCAUGGAGGAGAUUCAAGCGAUUGCAGAGACAAUGCCCUCACCAUGGUAUUCCUGAAUGGAUGUUGAUACAAACCUUCUAUAAUGGUUUAACUCAUGAGUUCCGAAUCUAUAUUGAUGCUGCAUCCGGGGGUUCUCUCUUGACUAAGAACCCAACUGAGGCGAAGGAGCUAGUUGAGAAGAUGGCGACCAAUGAUAACUAUCAUCUAGGAGGACGAAAUAGUGUGAAGAAGGGAGGUAAAUUAGAUGUUGAUGCUCUAACUCUUUUGACUAGCUCUGUGUAGGCAUUGUCAAGCAAGUUCAACAGACUCCAAGCUGGAUCAUCCGCUAGCUUACCUAAGACUUGUCAAAUGUGUAAUGUGCAAGGUCACAUCGUACCUAAUUGCCCACAAAAUUCAAAUGAGAUAUCAAUCGAGGAAGCCAAUUCAUUCUACACUUCUAAUCCCAAAAGGCCAUAUGACCCCCACUCUAACACAUAUAAUGAAGGUUGGAAGAAUCACCGAAAUUUUUCCUACAAGAAUACCCAAGCCCAACAAAAUCCACCUCCACCACCACCUUGAAACAACAAUUAUAAUGCACCACCUGGUUUCCAACCAAGGCCAUCUCUAGUCCAACAACCCAUGCAACAUGUGCAACCACCUCCUCAAAAAUAUAACCUUGAGUUAAUGAUGGAGAACUUUAUCACCACAACAAACAAUUCCAUCUAAUAGUUACAAGCUUAGAGCAAGCUCAUGGAAAAUUAGAUGAGUGAACUUGCUCAUGAAGUUGGCCAAUCUUUACUUUGAGGAAUGGAAAACAAUUGGAAAAUCCUCCCGUAUGGGAGCCAUCAUAGGAGGUUGUUGAAGGGGUAGGCGCAAAUGAAAAGGUGGUUGAAAGUACUAUGAUUGAGGAAGAGUCAAAGGAAACGACUCCACCACCUCUUGCUCUAUAUGUGCCAAAGGUCCCUUUUCCGCAGAGGUUAGCCCAAGCAAAGUUAGAGAAAAAGUAUGGAAAAUUUCUCGAUAUUCUGAAAAAGCUUCACAUCAACAUUCCAUUCUUAGAUGCAAUAUCCAAGAUGCCAUCUUAUGCAAAAUUCUUAAAGGAUAUUCUCUCUAACAAGAAGAAGCUAGAAGGGAAUGCUACAGUUGCAUUGACUGCAGUGUGUAGUGCAAUUUUACAAAACACACUUCCUAAGAAAUUAAGCGAUCUAGGUAGCUAUUCAAUUCCGGUCCUUGGAGGCAUAGAGAUCAACAGGGAAUUAUGUGAUCUUGGUGCAAGUGUGAGUCUUAUGCCGCUCUCUAUUUGCAAGAAACUUGAAAUGGGUGAACUAAAGCCUACGCUCAUAUCACUACAACUUGCGGAUAGGUCGGUUAAGUUUCCUUUAGGUAUAUUUAAAGAUGUUCCUCUUCGCGUGGGAAAAUUCUUUAUUCCAUGAGAUUUCGCUGUGAUGGAGAUGGAAGAGGAUUCACAUGUUCCUAUCAUUAUUGGUAGACCAUUCUUAGCCACUACAGCUGCAAUCAUUCAUAUGAAGAAUGGUAAAAUCACCUUUGAGGUAGGCGACGAGAAAAUGGAGUAUUCACUCUUGAAUGCUAUGGGAACUCCAUCGAUGGGAGAGACUAUUUGUCAAGUGGACGUCCUUGAUGAUUUACAAAGAGAGCAACUUACCAUGAUCAAGAUGGAUGAUGCACUUGAAACGUCGUUAAUGGGGAGUGCCAAUGAUGAAGAUUGGGAAACAAGGGAAUACACAAGGCUACUAGAGGAAGCAAAAGCUAACCUAAUCAUCGCUCAAACCAAAGAAGUCCUUAAUGCAUCGAGUGUUGGGGAGAGAACUACGCCUCCCGAGGUAGAAUUGAAACCCCUUCCCUCUAAUCUUCAAUAUGCAUACCUUGGUCCUAAUAAUACAUACCCUGUUAUUGUUAAUGCUGAACUUAACGACACAAUUUAAGAGCAACUGCUCAUUAUUUUGAGAAAAUAUAAAAGUGUUAUUGGGUACACCAUUGAUGAUAUUAAAGGUAUUAAUCCUUCUUUUUGUACGCAUAAAAUCGUUCUUGAGGACGAUCAUGCCUCCUCAAUAGAAUCUCAAAGAAGGCUUAAUCUAAACAUGAUGGAGGUAGUUAAUAAAGAAGUUCUUAAAUUGCUUGCUGCAGGAAUAAUUUACCCUAUCUCAGAUACUAAGUGGGUUAGCCCUGUACAGGUAGUACUAAAAAAAGGAGGUUUGACCGUUGUUAAGAAUGACAAGGGUAAGCCAAUCGCCACUAGGACUGUUACAGGGUGGCGAAUGUGUAUUGAUUAUAAGAGGUUGAAUAAGGCCUCCCGGAAGGACCAUUUCCCCCCCCCCCCUUUAUUGAUCAGAUGCUUGAACAUUUGGCUAAGCAUUCCUUUUUCUGUUAUUUGGAUGGAUAUUCUGGUUUCUUUCAAAUUCCUAUUCGUCCUUGUGAUCAGGAAAAGACCACAUUCACAUGUCCAUACGGCACUUUUGCAUAUCGUAGAAUACCGUUUGGAUUAUGUAAUGCCCUAGCCACAUUUCAACGUUGUUUGAUGACAAUUUUUUCGGGCCUUAUAGAAAAUUCUAUGGAAGUGGUUAUAGAUUAUUUUUCUGUUUAUGGAACUUCUUUCGAUGUGCCUUGAUAAUUUGAAAAAGGUGCUCGAUAGAUGUCAGGAAGUCAAUCUAAUUCUGAAUUGGGAAAAAUGUAAUUUUAUGGUUCAAUAGGGAAGCGUUUUAGGCCAUGUCGUGUCAAACAAGGGUACUGAGGUCGAUAAGGCUAAAAUUGAGGUUAUUGAGCGCUUACCAUCUCCGAAUUCUGUAAAAGGAGUUCAAAGUUUUCUUGGUCAUGCUAGACUUUAUCGUUUCUUCAUUAAGGAUUUUUCAAAGGUUGCUCGACCUCUAACUGAGCUUCUAGCUAAAGAUGCUCCUUUUGUUUUUACUGAUGCUUGUCUUGAGGAUUUUCCCGAUUUGGUAUCCCACGUAUGUUGAUUAGUGACAGGGGAACACAUUUUUAGCAGCAUCGGUUCGAAGUGAUGUUGAAGAAAUAUGGAGUGCAACACAGGCUGGGCAUUGGCUAUCAUCCACAGACCAGUGGUCAAGUUGAAGUGUCCAACCUGGAAAUUAAAUUUAUCCUAGAGAAAACGGUUGCAAGGACAAGAAAGGACUGGUCGGCCAAGAUUGAUGAUGCACUAUGGGCAUACCGAACAGCUUUCAAAACGCCAAUAGGUAUAACCUCAUAUAGACUUGUCUAUGGAAAGGCAUGCCACCUACCCGUUGAGCUAGAACACCGAGCAUUUUGGGCUAUUAAGAGCUUAAAUUUUGAUGCUAAAGCAGCGGGAGAAAAGAGGUUGUUAAAGUUGAAUGAACUAGAUGAGCUAUGUCUUGAAGCUUUUGAGAUUUCAAAACUAUAUAUAAAAAGAACUAAGCGGUGGCAUGAUAAGGAAGGAGAUCAAGUUCUUCUAUUUAACUUACGGUUGAAAUUGUUUCCCGGAAAGCUUCGGUCUAGGUGGUUAGGUCCUUUCACUGUUUUUAAGGCCUACCUCUACGAUACUAUUGAACUAUGGAACAAGACCGGGUCCACUUUCAAGGUCAACGGCCAAAGGGUGAAGCAUUACCGUGUUGGGGAUCCUAUCGAAGAGAAAGUGGACAUCACACUCUCUUCCCCAUCACCAAUUCAAUGAGCAUCACUACGAUCGAGUAAACGACCUUAUAAACAAGCGCUUGCGGGAGGCAACCCGUUUUCUUAUUUUUUUUUUUUCCUAUUUUUCAUCUUCUCUUUUUAGUUUUGUGUUUGUGUUUGUUUUGUUUUUCAGAGAACACCGAGCAAUGUAAGAAGUGGGAUGUCAAGAAGGUCGUCAAAGGUUGAUAAAAUGAGGAAUUAACUCGUCGCCCUGGCAAACCGGGCAUGCCACGCUCGACCGGGCGUGAGAAGCAGAGUCAUAAGGGGAAGAAAGGGGAGAAAAGAAAACAUGAAAUAUUUUCUAACCCCCAGAACCUGGUCAGACCGGGCAUCACUGCCCGAUCGGGCGUGAGAAGCAAGAAUGCCCGACCGGGCGUGAGAGCCAAACUCGGAAAUUACGAAUGGAAAAAUUUUCUUCUUUAAACGCCCGGGCGCGAAGAGAAACUGCGAGGACAACACGUUUUAAUUCACAAAAAAAAAUGCCCUCUUCACCAUUCUACUCUUUCAUUAUUCCUACACUCUCUCUCUAAAAACCACAAAAUCAAAAACCCUAACUCUUAUCCUCUCCUCUAAUUCCCACAAACUUCUCUCAAAUCCUUUCAAUUUCUUCAUCCUUCAUCACUUCGACCCCAUAUCCAACCUUCAUUACUAUUCCUCUCCCUCUAAACACUCAUCUCACCCAAAAUUUUUCUUUUUUAGAGAGAGAAAGCUUGAGAAAUAUUAAUGGCUGCAAGGAAGAGAAAUAGGAGCGCCCCUCAAGAACCACAACUAGAUUUGGAGAGCAUUCCAGGGUUCCCAAACAUCAAGUUCGUGGCCGAAUUUCCAAAUCAAAAGAAGCGAUUCCCAGAGCUACAACAUCGGGAGGUAAUUCCCACUCAUUUUAUACACCGUUCUCUUCUUGCUAAAUUAGGAAUAGAUUCCAAUUGUAGAACCUUGUUUUCUAAGCUUGGCAUGUCUCAAUUGUUUAACAUGAUCCAUUAUACAUAUGAAGAUAUCACUCUUGAAUUUUUGAGCUAUUUUGAUAUAGUAAAAGGUAGAGAUGGUUUGGUGACACACGUAGUUUAUAGAUUGUUGAAUAAAUCCCACUGUCUUACACUAGAUGGUUUUGGUAGGAAGUUUGGUCUUCCGUCCAUAGGAUUACCCAUGCAACCGAACAAUUUCAUUUUUGGGGAUUUGUGGUUUGCCAUGACAGGUGAAAACAUUGAGUCUAUGCAACAUGCUCCCGCUAACAAAAUCCAUUAACUAACCCGUCCUUAGACUUUUGACUCGCUUUUCUGGGUGGAAUAUUUUUAGACGGAUAGAACCUAAUAAAGUUAGGGCAGACAAGUUGCAAUCUUGGGUAGUUAUCUAUGAUAUGGGGAUUCUGAUGAGGGUUUUCGGAUGAACAUUUCUCACCUACUUCCCCUUCAUCUUAGGAAAUAGGAACUUACCUUCACCACUGUCAAACCUAAUGGAGACCGUACCAACAUCCCUAUAGUCGUAGGCGGUUUGGUGACCCACUUGGCAGUUAAGGAGGGUUUUGAUGAAGCCCACCAUACACCAAUGUCGGAUCCUAUUACCUUGGACUAGCACUACUUCACUACCACCGGCUGGUUGUCAGUUGAAUUUGGUAAUUACAGUUGGCUCAUUGGAAAGAGCAAUAGGCGUUCCAUCUCCUUACCCUCUCCUGACCUUUUUAAGAUUCGCCCUCACCAACCUUCAUAUAUUUUAGAGGUUCCUAGCAGUUCACUUUCCCUAGUUGCCCCCACGAGGACUUACUAUAGGCGAGAGUCUGCUGGACCCUCCACAUCUUCCACUACACCACCUGUCUCUUUUGACAACGAGGCCAUCAUGGCCUGUAUACGGGAACUUCAGCUAGGCCAGCAAGGCUUUUGCUCUCGUAUCCAGACACUUUAGACCGAUUUUCGCUUAUCUAUGCAUCCUGUCUUUGAUUAUUUUUACAGGCAAGGUCAUAUUCCAAGGGAUGCUUCCCAUCCUUCGUGGUAUACCUUUCCCAAUGUGGGAGAUAUUACAGGUGGUAGCGGGGCAGCCGAUGAUGAUGAUGAUGGUGACGAUGAUGACGGUGAUGAUGAUGAUGAUGAAUUUGAGUGAGGAUUCAUAGGUGUUUUUCCCACCUUCCACACGUUGCAAUGAGGCCAUUGCCAAGUGUAGCUUGGGGGAGGCUUGUGUAUAUGUAUAUAUCUCUUGAGGUUUCUUGGAUGAAUUGGACCUGUUUUGGAUGGUUAUGGAAGAGGUUGUUGAGUGAAAGAUGAAGAUUUCCCCAAUGCCCUAGCUUCUAGGGCGAAGGAAGGAAGAGCUAACUAUGAAGAAUCAUCAUACAUCCCACAUGCCCUGGCUGACAGGGCAGUGAGGAGUGUUAUUCUCAGAGCUUCAUUCAAGAAGUUGUUACACGCACCCGACUGGGCACCACAUGCCAUGACUGACCGGGCAUAAGAAGAAGAACACAGGAAGAAGGAAAUUACUUCGUCCGCCCAAUCGGGCAGGCUCCGCCCCGACAGACCGGGCACUGUUGCGCGAUGACCGUCUUUAACUAAUUACGGGAUUCUAUCUUUUUAAGGGUAUAAAUACCCCUUGUAAUCACAUUUAGAGAGUAGAUUAUUUAUUUUCUCUAGUAUUAUAACUACUUUAAAACCCUAGUUUUCUCUUCUUUCAGCAAUUAAGUUCUACUCUUAGUUUGGAUCAUUGUGCAUCAACAAUUCAAGUUCUUUCAAUUGAAGCAAUUGGUAUUUAUCUAUUCUCUUAA
Long non-coding RNA from Chenopodium quinoa (quinoa), 6744 nucleotides. RefSeq lists it as uncharacterized. The record is from RefSeq and is a predicted model, not a curated record. Lineage: Eukaryota; Viridiplantae; Streptophyta; Magnoliopsida; Caryophyllales; Amaranthaceae. The transcript is spliced from 2 exons.